CACCCCGGGGACGCCCCCCCCGAGGCCGAAGGCUGCCCCGGGCAACUGCUCGUGAAGGCUCUGCCCUGCACGGCCGCCUGGGCUGCUGAGCAAGAGGCCGUGAGGAAGAGGAUGUCGCGGUGCCAGGAGCCGCGCGCGCAGGGCCCGGUGUGGGGGCU
Molecule: long non-coding RNA, 158 nt
Organism: Nothoprocta perdicaria
Lineage: Eukaryota; Metazoa; Chordata; Aves; Tinamiformes; Tinamidae
Exons: 4
Source: RefSeq, a predicted model, not a curated record